This is a long non-coding RNA of Amphiprion ocellaris (clown anemonefish), 1084 nucleotides long. NCBI's taxonomy places the organism in Eukaryota, Metazoa, Chordata, Actinopteri, Pomacentridae. The record is from Ensembl.
UGCUGAAACUCAUGCUUGAGAGCGCAAUCUCAAUCUCUGUGUGUGUGUGUGUGUUAGUCAAACAGAUUUGGUAACAAACAGCAGCAGGUGGACUUUGCCUGCUGUGAUCAGUCAGCGAUCCCUUUAUUGAAACCUGGCAGAGUGUGUUAGUUCAGUUUAGCUCUCAGGAGGAGAGGAAGAUGAAUGCCAACAAGAUGUGUUCCUUUUUUGUUAUUGGGGUGGUGCUGUGUGGAACCAGUUUGGCCACAAGGGAACAGGGACAGCUGAGAGAUCUCUUGUUCAGCCCGAUUGUUUUUAACGAAGUGUUGGUGAACCAGGGCUCUGCCUACAACAACAUCACCGGUGUGUUCACUGCGCCGCUCGCUGGCAUCUACCAGUUUGUUUUUGUUGCCCAGCUGUGCCGCGGUCACCACAACAACAGAUGGUACUUUAUGGUCAAUGGGGUCCAAAAUCUGCUCUGCCACGCUCAGGUGGCUGAUGGUCAAACAACCCUCAACACUUGUUACUUCAUGAAGGAACUGAAGAAAGGUGACCAGGUGUGGGUGAAACAAAGCGCUGAGAGCUGCUCCUGGGCCAGCACUACCUCCAAGACAAUCACCUUCUCUGGCAUCCUGCUGGCGACUGAGAGCGUGUCCAUGCUGGGGGGGAAGUAUGGCAGCUCCUGUCCGCUGCCCAGCAGGAACCUGGUGUCCAGCUCUGCAGGCCGGACCGUCGCUCUGUCCGGUGUGGUCGUCACCCUGCAGCUCAGCCGCUUCCUCUGGGAUUAAUCAAAGCAGAGAUACCUAGCUUAGCUGUUUAUGCUUCUAUUUCAGUCUAUUGUAUUUAAGAUUUCUAAAGGUUCUAAAGUUUGUUUUCUUUUUAAAUGUAUUUGGAUUUUUAAGACUCUACAUUUAUCUGCCAUUUUAACUUUUAAUGGACAAUCAGAUUUUUCAGUCAUCCCCAAACUGCAAAAAUAUACUUAUGAUUUUAGUUAGAGUCCCUCUCCGGUCGCUGAAUAAACCCUGAAAAACCCAUCUCUAUUUAUCUAAGUUACAUACUGAGAUGGUUUGUCUGUGAAAAUGAUCAGUUUUUGCAAUAAAAUGAC